This 47-nucleotide transfer RNA is filed under the name Pimelodus pictus (Pictus cat). Its description in RNAcentral is "partial tRNA-Pro". RNAcentral also lists the same sequence under 8 other names. The record is from RNAcentral. Lineage: Eukaryota; Metazoa; Chordata; Actinopteri; Siluriformes; Pimelodidae.
CCAGAAAGAAGAGAUUUUAACUCCUACCUCUAACUCCCAAAGCCAGA